This 652-nucleotide ribosomal RNA is filed under the name Alternaria sp. 3 MM-2016. RNAcentral describes it as "eukaryotic LSU rRNA". The stretch from base 214 to 367 matches the Rfam family "5.8S ribosomal RNA". Lineage: Eukaryota; Fungi; Ascomycota; Dothideomycetes; Pleosporales; Pleosporaceae. The record is from RNAcentral.
AAAGUGCGACAAGGUACUCCGUAGGGUGAACCUGCGGGGGGAUCAUUACACAAAUAUGAAGGCGGGCUGGAACCUCUCGGGGUUACAGCCUUGCUGAAUUAUUCACCCUUGUCUUUUGCGUACUUCUUGUUUCCUUGGUGGGUUCGCCCACCACUAGGACAAACAUAAACCUUUUGUAAUUGCAAUCAGCGUCAGUAACAAAUUAAUAAUUACAACUUUCAACAACGGAUCUCUUGGUUCUGGCAUCGAUGAAGAACGCAGCGAAAUGCGAUAAGUAGUGUGAAUUGCAGAAUUCAGUGAAUCAUCGAAUCUUUGAACGCACAUUGCGCCCUUUGGUAUUCCAAAGGGCAUGCCUGUUCGAGCGUCAUUUGUACCCUCAAGCUUUGCUUGGUGUUGGGCGUCUUGUCUCUAGCUUUGCUGGAGACUCGCCUUAAAGUAAUUGGCAGCCGGCCUACUGGUUUCGGAGCGCAGCACAAGUCGCACUCUCUAUCAGCAAAGGUCUAGCAUCCAUUAAGCCUUUUUUUCAACUUUUGACCUCGGAUCAGGUAGGGAUACCCGCUGAACUUAAGCAUAUCAAUAAGCGGAGGAAAAGAAACCAACAGGGAUUGCCCUAGUAACGGCGAGUGAAGCGGCAACAGCUCAAAUUUGAAAA